UACAGAGGGUGCGAGCGUUGUCCGGAAUCACUGGGCGUAAAGAGCGUGUAGGCGGCUAUACAGGUCCGCUGUGAAAACUCGAGGCUCAACCUCGAGACGUCGGUUGAAACCGUAUGGCUAGAGUCCGGAAGAGGAGAGUGGAAUUCCCGGUGUAGCGGUGAAAUGCGCAGAUAUCGGGAAGAACACCCGUGGCGAAGGCGGCUCUCUGGGACGGUACUGACGCUGAGACGCGAAAGCGUGGGGAGCGAACAGG
Molecule: ribosomal RNA, 253 nt
Filed under: uncultured bacterium
Lineage: Bacteria
Description: partial 16S ribosomal RNA
Rfam family: Bacterial small subunit ribosomal RNA
Source: RNAcentral